RNAcentral lists this ribosomal RNA (253 nucleotides) under uncultured bacterium. RNAcentral describes it as "partial 16S ribosomal RNA". It matches the Rfam family "Bacterial small subunit ribosomal RNA", at positions 524 to 776 of the family's 1533-position model. The record is from RNAcentral.
CACGUAGGGGGCGAGCGUUAUUCGGAAUUAUUGGGCGUAAAGGGCGCGUAGGCGGCUUGACAAGUCAGGGGUGAAAUCCCUCGGCUCAACCGAGGAACUGCCUCUGAAACUGUCAAGCUUGAGGCCGGGAGAGGGUGGUGGAAUUCCCAGUGUAGCGGUGAAAUGCGUAGAUAUUGGGAGGAACACCAGUGGCGAAGGCGGCCACCUGGACCGGUUCUGACGCUGAGGCGCGAAAGUGUGGGGAGCAAACAGG